Molecule: ribosomal RNA, 137 nt
Filed under: uncultured bacterium
Lineage: Bacteria
Description: partial 16S ribosomal RNA
Rfam family: Bacterial small subunit ribosomal RNA
Source: RNAcentral
UGGGGAUAUUGCACAAUGGGGGAAACCCUGAUGCAGCGACGCCGCGUGGGUGAAGAAGUAUUUCGGUAUGUAAAGCCCUAUCAGCAGGGAAGAAAGAAGACGGUACCUGACUAAGAAGCCCCGGCUAACUACGUGCC